RNAcentral lists this transfer RNA (61 nucleotides) under Megalothorax incertus. Its description in RNAcentral is "tRNA-Met". The record is from RNAcentral. Lineage: Eukaryota; Metazoa; Arthropoda; Collembola; Neelipleona; Neelidae.
AAAAAGAUAAGCUAAUUUAAGCUAUUGGGCCCAUACCCCAAAGAUGAUUUUUCUCUUUUUA